RNAcentral lists this ribosomal RNA (659 nucleotides) under Klebsiella oxytoca. Its description in RNAcentral is "partial 23S ribosomal RNA". It matches the Rfam family "Bacterial large subunit ribosomal RNA", at positions 890 to 1550 of the family's 2925-position model. Lineage: Bacteria; Pseudomonadati; Pseudomonadota; Gammaproteobacteria; Enterobacterales; Enterobacteriaceae. The record is from RNAcentral.
UCAUCUUCGGGGGUAGAGCACUGUUUCGGCUAGGGGGUCAUCCCGACUUACCAACCCGAUGCAAACUACGAAUACCGAAGAAUGUUAUCACGGGAGACACACGGCGGGUGCUAACGUCCGUCGUGAAGAGGGAAACAACCCAGACCGCCAGCUAAGGUCCCAAAGUCAUGGUUAAGUGGGAAACGAUGUGGGAAGGCCCAGACAGCCAGGAUGUUGGCUUAGAAGCAGCCAUCAUUUAAAGAAAGCGUAAUAGCUCACUGGUCGAGUCGGCCUGCGCGGAAGAUGUAACGGGGCUAAACCAUGCACCGAAGCUGCGGCAGCGACACUAUGUGUUGUUGGGUAGGGGAGCGUUCUGUAAGCCGUUGAAGGUGGCCUGUGAGGGUUGCUGGAGGUAUCAGAAGUGCGAAUGCUGACAUAAGUAACGAUAAUGCGGGUGAAAAACCCGCACGCCGGAAGACCAAGGGUUCCUGUCCAACGUUAAUCGGGGCAGGGUGAGUCGACCCCUAAGGCGAGGCCGAAAGGCGUAGUCGAUGGGAAACAGGUUAAUAUUCCUGUACUUGGUGUUACUGCGAAGGGGGGACGGAGAAGGCUAUGUUGGCCGGGCGACGGUUGUCCCGGUUUAAGCAUGUAGGCGGAUGUUCCAGGUAAAUCCGGAACGU